AGGCAGCAGUGGGGAAUAUUGGACAAUGGGCGAAAGCCUGAUCCAGCCAUGCCGCGUGUGUGAAGAAGGUCUUCGGAUUGUAAAGCACUUUAAGUUGGGAGGAAGGGCAGUAAGUUAAUACCUUGCUGUUUUGACGUUACCGACAGAAUAAGCACCGGCUAACUCU
Molecule: ribosomal RNA, 166 nt
Filed under: uncultured bacterium
Lineage: Bacteria
Description: partial 16S ribosomal RNA
Rfam family: Bacterial small subunit ribosomal RNA
Source: RNAcentral